UGGGAAGUGAUGACGCCUUUGACUGCUGACACACACUGAUCUCUGUCGUAUUCGUACUGGCUGAUCCCA
Small nucleolar RNA from Mesocricetus auratus (golden hamster), 69 nucleotides. The record is from Ensembl. Lineage: Eukaryota; Metazoa; Chordata; Mammalia; Rodentia; Cricetidae.